UGCUUCUGGUGGCUGAAGUCUGAGU
Molecule: non-coding RNA, 25 nt
Filed under: Mus musculus (house mouse)
Lineage: Eukaryota; Metazoa; Chordata; Mammalia; Rodentia; Muridae
Source: RNAcentral